Molecule: unclassified non-coding RNA, 517 nt
Filed under: Hevea brasiliensis (rubber tree)
Lineage: Eukaryota; Viridiplantae; Streptophyta; Magnoliopsida; Malpighiales; Euphorbiaceae
Source: RNAcentral
AAAAAACAACAAACCCAUCGAAGAGCUCUUGCCAUAUUCUCCUUUAUUCUUCUUCAGUGUGUGGUCGACCAUUCACUUGCUGUUAUUGCAAUCUGGUAACUAUUUCUCUCUCAAUUGUGAACAAGGAUCACCAUGGGAGAGAGUUCGAGCAGAAGGAAGAAAAGAAAACAAGAAGAAUCAGCCACUUCCUCAUCUGAAUCAUUUUCUGAAUCUGACUAUGAAGUUGAUAGCUCCUCUGAAGAUGAAAAACGGCGAAAGCGUCGGCACAAACGGCGUCGCGAGGGGGAGAGGAGUCGAAGGAGCUCCUCAAGGAGUGAUAAGCAUAGGGAGAGGGCGAAGAGAAAAAAGAAGCUUGCGAAGAAGCGGGAGCAUAGAGGCAGCAGCAGUAGUAGGAGAUCGAAACCAGAGGGAAAGAGGAAGUAUUCAGAUUCUAGUGAAUCGGACACCGGUUCCGGGUCAGACUGUGAUGACUUCCAGCCCGAGCGGCGAAGGGAUAGUCCUGGGGAUGUGGUCAAAG